This is a non-coding RNA of Phrynosoma platyrhinos (Desert horned lizard), 72 nucleotides long. The record is from the annotation of a GenBank genome assembly. Lineage: Eukaryota; Metazoa; Chordata; Lepidosauria; Squamata; Phrynosomatidae.
GCCAGCGUGGUGUAGUGGUCUGAGCAUUGGACUAUGACUCUGGAGACCAGGGUUCGAAUCCCAGUUUAGUUC